This 914-nucleotide long non-coding RNA is filed under the name Gallus gallus (chicken). RNAcentral describes it as "lncRNA (ENSGALG00010014732.1)". Lineage: Eukaryota; Metazoa; Chordata; Aves; Galliformes; Phasianidae. The record is from RNAcentral.
ACACCUGGAACCGUCUAUGAAAGUCAACCCAAGCACCUCUUCCAACACCUGGGGCUACGGGUGACCUUCUAGGCUUUGCUGUUACACCAUUUCAGGAGCCCUCCUUCCCCCUGGGGCUGGCUCUGCUUGGAAGCGGCGGAGGCCUGUGGUGUUGCCAAGUCCGUUGCUGCAGACCUCUUUGUUCCCCAAGAGAAUGCGUAAAGGCUCUUUUUGAUCCCACUGCACAUCGCUGGGCUCUGCUGACCUCCAGACAUGGAGAGCACCACGAGGAGGAAAAGGACUCAGCACGUGACUGGGCUUUGCGGCCAGCUCUGGACCACAAGCUCCUUGCCCAGAUAUCUUGCUGAUAUCCCUCGCCAUAUGGGAUGUGUGUGGUGCUGCUUCCUCCUGGCUGUCACUCGUGGGGUUCUGCCCCGGCUCCGAAGCUCCGUGCGUGGGAACAGCUCCUGGCUGGGGCUCAUCUCUGUCUGCAGGAGCUGCUCGGCCUCUUUCAGCACAUCUCAGUCUGUUUGGAGACAGUUCCCACAAGCAUCUCUUCUCCAGGUGUAGCGGCUUUCUCUCCCCCGUGUUUCAGCCGUGGUAUCACAUUAUUUAUGGUUUCCUGCCUGUUGGCUGGUUUGGAAGUCAGCAAUUCCCCGAGAUGAAGUUGUACGAAGUUGGCUGGUGCUGAAUUUGCAUUUUUUUUUUCCCAGAAGAGAGAGAGAUCGAGGGAAAAAACGUCACCGUGCUGCAUCACCGGGCACUCCAUCCCACGGGUCUGCCCAUCCUCACCCCUCCAACGCCAACGCCCCUCAGGGUCAUAAAUUUGCACGGUGAUGAGACACAACCAGAUGUUCGGCUACGUGAAGCGACUGGCGAAGCAGCCUGCCUGGCGCAGCCCCCGCCGCCGGAGCCAGCCGCCUGCUAAUGAGAAG